This 67-nucleotide ribosomal RNA is filed under the name Bacteroides fragilis str. 3725 D9 ii. Lineage: Bacteria; Pseudomonadati; Bacteroidota; Bacteroidia; Bacteroidales; Bacteroidaceae. The record is from RNAcentral.
AUUAUAGAAGUCAACCACCGAUUAAAUCAAUACAAACGGCAGGCACGGGAAAGGUUGCUCUCAGAAG